UACGUAGGUGGCAAGCGUUGUCCGGAAUUACUGGGUGUAAAGGGAGCGCAGGCGGGGAGGCAAGUUGAAUGUCUAAACUAUCGGCUCAACUGAUAGUCGCGUUCAAAACUGCCACUCUUGAGUGCAGUAGAGGUAGGCGGAAUUCCUAGUGUAGCGGUGAAAUGCGUAGAUAUUAGGAGGAACACCAGUGGCGAAGGCGGCCUACUGGGCUGUAACUGACGCUGAGGCUCGAAAGCGUGGGUAGCAAACAGG
This 252-nucleotide ribosomal RNA is filed under the name Negativibacillus massiliensis. RNAcentral's name for it is "partial 16S ribosomal RNA". It matches the Rfam family "Bacterial small subunit ribosomal RNA", at positions 524 to 776 of the family's 1533-position model. The record is from RNAcentral. Lineage: Bacteria; Bacillati; Bacillota.